Molecule: long non-coding RNA, 314 nt
Organism: Carassius carassius (crucian carp)
Lineage: Eukaryota; Metazoa; Chordata; Actinopteri; Cypriniformes; Cyprinidae
Exons: 3
Source: RefSeq, a predicted model, not a curated record
AUUACGGUGUCUUACCGUAAAUGCACACGUGAUCGGUGGGAGAGGGGGAACCAAAGGGUAGCUGACGCAUAGAGGAGCAUGGUUUCAGUCAAAGUUUUAUGGAUUUCAUCUCAAGUUGACGCUCAUUUACAGGAACAUGAAGACGGACUGGUUUCACAUGCAGAUGUUGCAGCAUCUGCAUCUGAUAUUGAGAAGACACUCAAUCUACCUGCCAAUCCUCAUCUGAUUUUGCUGGGUUAGUGUGUCAUUACACAUGAUGAAGAGACAUUUACUGAUGUUUAAGAUAUAAAAUUGUAACAUUGCUGUUGUGCACG